Molecule: long non-coding RNA, 462 nt
Organism: Apis florea (little honeybee)
Lineage: Eukaryota; Metazoa; Arthropoda; Insecta; Hymenoptera; Apidae
Source: RefSeq, a predicted model, not a curated record
AUCUUACAAUACACAACACCGUUUCUCUUAUUCAACUCGUGAAGAAAUAGUGCACGUCUCUUCACUGUCUCAAAGUGGAUCGUGAAAUCUUGAAAACAGAACCUACCCCAACGAUGUUACGCCUCACAUGUUCAAUGAACUCACGAGAACCGCUUCAAGGGGUUUAAUUUCGGCUUGACUGAUAUGUGUGGCCAAUUCCAUUUGAAAACCAACGUCGCAUCGCACGAAUGUGUAACAUCGAGAUUCAUCAAAGAUGCAAAUUUCAUUGGAAUUUUUGAGUAUUGGAUUUGAGGUUCUCUUUGAAGUUCUAUGCAGAGAUGUAAAGAUGGCACUCGCAGCAGUACAAGAGCAAAAGAUCUUAUCUAUUUGCUUUGUGUAAUUUAGUGUCGCGUUGCUAGAAGAUCUAAUUUGUUAGCGUGGUAUUUUUAGGCAAUAACGUGUCUAUUCUAUGAAUUUGCAUUG